GAGCGGAGAUGAGGUGCUUGCACCUUAUCUUAGCGGCGGACGGGUGAGUAAUGCUUAGGAAUCUGCCUAUUAGUGGGGGACAACAUUCCGAAAGGAAUGCUAAUACCGCAUACGUCCUACGGGAGAAAGCAGGGGAUCUUCGGACCUUGCGCUAAUAGAUGAGCCUAAGUCGGAUUAGCUAGUUGGUGGGGUAAAGGCCUACCAAGGCGACGAUCUGUAGCGGGUCUGAGAGGAUGAUCCGCCACACUGGGACUGAGACACGGCCCAGACUCCUACGGGAGGCAGCAGUGGGGAAUAUUGGACAAUGGGGGGAACCCUGAUCCAGCCAUGCCACGUGUGUGAAGAAGGCCUUAUGGUUGUAAAGCACUUUAAGCGAGGAGGAGGCUACUGAGACUAAUACUCUUGGAUAGUGGACGUUACUCGCAGAAUAAGCACCGGCUAACUCUGUGCCAGCAGCCGCGGUAAUACAGAGGGUGCGAGCGUUAAUCGGAUUUACUGGGCGUAAAGCGUGCGUAGGCGGCUUUUUAAGUCGGAUGUGAAAUCCCCGAGCUUAACUUGGGAAUUGCAUUCGAUACUGGGAAGCUAGAGUAUGGGAGAGGAUGGUAGAAUUCCAGGUGUAGCGGUGAAAUGCGUAGAGAUCUGGAGGAAUACCGAUGGCGAAGGCAGCCAUCUGGCCUAAUACUGACGCUGAGGUA
Molecule: ribosomal RNA, 695 nt
Filed under: uncultured bacterium
Lineage: Bacteria
Description: bacterial SSU rRNA
Rfam family: Bacterial small subunit ribosomal RNA
Source: RNAcentral